RNAcentral lists this ribosomal RNA (279 nucleotides) under uncultured bacterium. Its description in RNAcentral is "partial 16S ribosomal RNA". It matches the Rfam family "Bacterial small subunit ribosomal RNA", at positions 506 to 784 of the family's 1533-position model. The record is from RNAcentral.
UGCCAGCCGCCGCGGUAAUACGGAGGGUGCAAGCGUUAUCCGGAUUUAUUGGGUUUAAAGGGUCCGUAGGCGGAUGAUUAAGUCAGUGGUGAAAGCCCACAGCUCAACUGUGGAAUUGCCAUUGAUACUGAUCAUCUUGAGUACAAUUGAAGUUGGCGGAAUAGGUCAUGUAGCGGUGAAAUGCUUAGAUAUGACCUAGAACACCGAUUGCGAAGGCAGCCAACUAAGCUGUAACUGACGCUGAGGGACGAAAGCGUGGGGAGCGAACAGGAUUAGAUA